AGCUCCAAUAGCGUAUAUUAAAGUUGUUGCAGUUAAAAAGCUCGUAGUUGGAUUUCUGGCAGGAGCGACCGGUCACGCACUCUGUGCGUGAACUUGUGUUGUCUCUGGCCAUCCUCGGGGAGAUCCUGUUUGGCAUUAAGUUGUCGGGCAGGGGAUACCCGUCGUUUACUGUGAAAAAAUUAGAGUGUUUAAAGCAGGCUUAUGCCGUUGAAUAUAUUAGCAUGGAAUAAUAAGAUAGGACUUCGGAACUAUUUUGUUGGUUUGCGUUACGAAGUAAUGAUUAAUAGGGACAGUUGGGGGUAUUCGUAUUUCGUUGUCAGAGGUGAAAUUCUUGGAUUUCCGAAAGACGAACUACUGCGAAAGCAUUUACCAAGGAUGUUUUCAUUA
This 387-nucleotide ribosomal RNA is filed under the name Thalassiosira sp. RNAcentral's name for it is "SSU rRNA". It matches the Rfam family "Eukaryotic small subunit ribosomal RNA", at positions 587 to 975 of the family's 1831-position model. The record is from RNAcentral. Lineage: Eukaryota; Bacillariophyta; Thalassiosirophyceae; Thalassiosirales; Thalassiosiraceae.